RNAcentral lists this ribosomal RNA (253 nucleotides) under uncultured bacterium. RNAcentral describes it as "partial 16S ribosomal RNA". It matches the Rfam family "Bacterial small subunit ribosomal RNA", at positions 524 to 776 of the family's 1533-position model. The record is from RNAcentral.
UACAGAGGGUGCGAGCGUUAAUCGGAAUUACUGGGCGUAAAGCGCGCGUAGGCGGCUUUGCAAGUCGGGUGUGAAAUCCCCAGGCUUAACCUGGGAACUGCAUUCGAGACUGCAUUGCUAGAGUAUGGGAGAGGGUAGCGGAAUUCCCAGUGUAUCGGUGAAAUGCGUAGAUAUUGGGAGGAACACCAGUGGCGAAGGCGGCUACCUGGACCGGUUCUGACGCUGAGGCGCGAAAGCGUGGGUAGCAAACAGG